CGGGCCGCAGCAGGCGCGAAAACUUUACAAUGCUGGGAACAGCGAUAAGGGAACCUCGAGUGCCAGGUUACAAAUCUGGCUGUCGAGAUGUCUAAAUAGCAUAAUAUAGCAAGGGCCGGGCAAGACCGGUGCCAGCCGCCGCGGUAACACCGGCGGCUCGAGUGGUAACCGUUAAUAUUGGGUCUAAAGGGUCCGUAGCCGGCCGGAUAAGUCUUUCGGGAAAUCUGGCAGCUUAACCGUCAGGCUUUCAGGGGAUACUGUCAGGCUCGAGGCCGGGAGAGGUGAGAGGUACUUCAGGGGUAGGAGUGAAAUCUUGUAAUCCUUGAAGGACCACCAGUGGCGAAGGCGUCUCACCAGAACGGGUCCGACGGCAAGGGACGAAAGCUGGGGGCACGAACCGGAUUAGAUACCCGGGUAGUCCCAGCCGUAAAC
Molecule: ribosomal RNA, 432 nt
Filed under: uncultured archaeon
Lineage: Archaea
Description: bacterial SSU rRNA
Rfam family: Archaeal small subunit ribosomal RNA
Source: RNAcentral